Molecule: long non-coding RNA, 547 nt
Filed under: Olea europaea subsp. europaea
Lineage: Eukaryota; Viridiplantae; Streptophyta; Magnoliopsida; Lamiales; Oleaceae
Source: RNAcentral
CUCCUAGUCUCCUGCAAAUCAAAAUCCAAAUUAUUGAACAACCCAAACUGCCAGACGAUGUUACAAGGACAAAAGGCGAUCUUCUCACUUCUUCAAGGGCGGUCCAACUGCCCCUACCUACAUUAAUCAGAUUUGUGUUGUCGGGUUUGUGGUUUUGACAUUCUGUUCAUAGGAAUUAUGGGGUUUUCCUUUUUGGUGAUUUAAUUGAUUCUUAGUUGUGGUUUCUGAAUUAAUGCUUAGUAAUGGUGAUUAUAUGAACAUUAUACUAAAUAAAACUUUGGAAUAAAUAAUUGGCCUUUGUUUCUCAAAAUUUUGUGGAGGAAUAAAUAAUAAAUCAUUAGACUUUGAAUUUAGAUGCGUUUCUUGUUCUCUUGCCUAGUCAGAAUUCCCAAUCCCAUAUGUGUUAUUCAGGACUACAUAAUAGGAAUCUCAAACUAAUUUCAAAGACAAUUCCUCUGCAAAAUUAUACAGGAACCAGGAAUGAUAUAUCUGCCUGUUGAUGUUUCCACAGCCUUGCUACACUUUUCAACUAUUGGAGAAAUCACCA